RNAcentral lists this unclassified non-coding RNA (395 nucleotides) under soil metagenome. RNAcentral's name for it is "partial contains 5.8S ribosomal RNA, internal transcribed spacer 2, and large subunit ribosomal RNA". The stretch from base 1 to 122 matches the Rfam family "5.8S ribosomal RNA", at positions 35 to 154 of the family's 154-position model. The record is from RNAcentral.
GAUGAAGAACGCAGCGAAAUGCGAUACUUGGUGUGAAUUGCAGAAUCCCGUGAACCAUCGAGUCUUUGAACGCAAGUUGCGCCCGAAGCCAUCAGGUUGAGGGCACGUCUGCCUGGGCGUCACAUAUUGUUGCCCAAUGCCUAUUGCAGUGCAAUAGGAAUUUCUAGGGCGAAUGAUGGCUUCCCGUGAGCGUUGUUGCCUCGCGGUUGGUUGAAAAUCGAGUCCUUGGUAGGGUGUGCCAUGGUAGAUGGUGGUCGAGUUAGAACGAUACCGAUCAUGUGCAUGCUCCCCAAAAUAUGGCCUCUAUGACCCACACGCGUCUUUUGACGCUCAUGACGAGACCUCAGGUCAGGCGGGGCUACCCGCUGAAUUUAAGCAUAUCAAUAAGCGGAGGA